UGGUGCUGAUAAAGAAUGGUAAACUUUUU
Molecule: non-coding RNA, 29 nt
Filed under: Rattus norvegicus (Norway rat)
Lineage: Eukaryota; Metazoa; Chordata; Mammalia; Rodentia; Muridae
Source: RNAcentral